Molecule: long non-coding RNA, 332 nt
Filed under: Gossypium barbadense (sea-island cotton)
Lineage: Eukaryota; Viridiplantae; Streptophyta; Magnoliopsida; Malvales; Malvaceae
Description: long non-coding RNA (GBAR_LNC002153)
Source: RNAcentral
CAUCUUGGUUGACGAGCGAAGUGCACCAUUAGUUAUGGGUCACUUCCGUCGGUCUAUCAUUCGAAGUCUUCGCUGUCUGUGAUGGGGUUGCAGGUCUGAUCUUUUCUCUUCUUUCAGAAGCUAGGAUUGGAAGGCCUUUCCUAAUUUGUAGAAAUUCCUCUAUGUUUUCAAGUUAUUAUUUGUAUUAAGUGAAGUAACUACUCGCCUAUGCUUUCUUUGUGGGUGCAUCCCUUGUGAAAUUCCCCUAGUCUAGGUCUUUUUCUCCUUUUAGUGUGUUCGUGUAUUACUUGUACUGCUUUUCAGUGAUGGCAAUUAUAAAGGGUAUUUUCUUA